ACACCAUGCCAAUUUUCACCUUAAUCCGACCAAUAGAUCUUUAGAUAUCAUAGAAACCCUAUCCAACCUCAAACAACCACCUUCCAAAACCUUCUUGUGCUAAAAACUAGAUAUCUCUAAACCACGCUAUUAGAUUAUGAUAAAAUUUUUAUAUACUUAACUCACCUAAUAAUCCAAACAGUAUCAAAUUUUCAAUCGUAGAUGUUAUACCAAUUGCACAAACUAGGCAAAAUUGCUAGCCCUAAUUAUAUUAUAUAAAAUCCAAAUCACUGAUACAAACCCUAACUUCAAAGUCCUCAAAAAUCUUCCAAAAACAAUCCUUAUGCCUUUU
This 331-nucleotide long non-coding RNA is filed under the name Physcomitrium patens. Its description in RNAcentral is "long non-coding RNA (PPAT_LNC002737)". The record is from RNAcentral. Lineage: Eukaryota; Viridiplantae; Streptophyta; Bryopsida; Funariales; Funariaceae.